CCUACGGGGGGCAGCAGUGAGGAAUAUUGGUCAAUGGGCGCUAGCCUGAACCAGCCAAGUAGCGUGAAGGAUGACGGCCCUAUGGGUUGUAAACUUCUUUUAUAGGGGAAUAAAGUGCAGUAUGUAUACUGCUUUGCAUGUACCUUAUGAAUAAGGAUAGGCUAACUCCGUGCCAGCAGCCGCGGUAAUACGGAGGAUCCGAGCGUUAUGCGGAUUGAGUGGGUUUACAGGGAGCGUAGGCGGGUUGUUAAGUCAGUUGUGAAAGUUUGCGGCUCAACCGUAAAAGUGCAGUUGAUACUGGCAUCCUUGAGUACAGUAGAGGUAGGCGGAAUUCGUGGUGUAGCGGUGACAUGCUUAGAUAUCAC
Molecule: ribosomal RNA, 365 nt
Filed under: uncultured bacterium
Lineage: Bacteria
Description: partial 16S ribosomal RNA
Rfam family: Bacterial small subunit ribosomal RNA
Source: RNAcentral